Molecule: ribosomal RNA, 730 nt
Filed under: uncultured bacterium
Lineage: Bacteria
Description: bacterial SSU rRNA
Rfam family: Bacterial small subunit ribosomal RNA
Source: RNAcentral
AACAGGAUUAGAUACCCUGGUAGUCCACGCCGUAAACGAUGUCGACUUGGAGGUUGUGCCCUUGAGGCGUGGCUUCCGGAGCUAACGCGUUAAGUCGACCGCCUGGGGAGUACGGCCGCAAGGUUAAAACUCAAAUGAAUUGACGGGGGCCCGCACAAGCGGUGGAGCAUGUGGUUUAAUUCGAUGCAACGCGAAGAACCUUACCUACUCUUGACAUCCAGAGAACUUUCCAGAGAUGGAUUGGUGCCUUCGGGAACUCUGAGACAGGUGCUGCAUGGCUGUCGUCAGCUCGUGUUGUGAAAUGUUGGGUUAAGUCCCGCAACGAGCGCAACCCUUAUCCUUUGUUGCCAGCGGUCCGGCCGGGAACUCAAAGGAGACUGCCAGUGAUAAACUGGAGGAAGGUGGGGAUGACGUCAAGUCAUCAUGGCCCUUACGAGUAGGGCUACACACGUGCUACAAUGGCGCAUACAAAGAGAAGCGACCUCGCGAGAGCAAGCGGACCUCAUAAAGUGCGUCGUAGUCCGGAUUGGAGUCUGCAACUCGACUCCAUGAAGUCGGAAUCGCUAGUAAUCGUGGAUCAGAAUGCCACGGUGAAUACGUUCCCGGGCCUUGUACACACCGCCCGUCACACCAUGGGAGUGGGUUGCAAAAGAAGUUGGUAGCUUAACCUUCGGGAGGGCGCUUACCACUUUGUGAUUCAUGACUGGGGUGAAGUCGUAACAAGGUAACC